RNAcentral lists this ribosomal RNA (435 nucleotides) under uncultured bacterium. RNAcentral's name for it is "partial 16S ribosomal RNA". It matches the Rfam family "Bacterial small subunit ribosomal RNA", at positions 341 to 792 of the family's 1533-position model. The record is from RNAcentral.
ACGGAAGGCAGCAGUAGGGAAUAUUGCAUAAGGGGGGAAACCCUGAUGUAGCGACGCCGCGUGAGCGAUGAAGUAUUUCGGUAUGUAAAGCUCUAUCAGCAGGGAAGAUAAUGACGGUACCUGACUAAGAAGCCCCGGCUAACUACGUGCCAGCAGCCGCGGUAAUACGUAGGGGGCAAGCGUUAUCCGGAUUUACUGGGUGUAAAGGGAGUGUAGGUGGUUUGGCAAGCCAGAUGUGAAAACCCGGGGCUCAACUCCGUGGACUGCAUUUGGAACUGUUAAACUUGAGUGCAGGAGAGGAAAGUGGAAUUCCUAGUGUAGCGGUGAAAUGCGUAGAUAUUAGGAGGAACACCAGUGGCGAAGGCGGCUUUCUGGACUGUAACUGACACUGAGGCUCGAAAGCGUGGGGAGCAAACAGGAUUAGAUACCCUGGUA